This 117-nucleotide ribosomal RNA is filed under the name Peromyscus maniculatus bairdii (prairie deer mouse). The record is from RNAcentral. Lineage: Eukaryota; Metazoa; Chordata; Mammalia; Rodentia; Cricetidae.
AUCUACGGCCAUACUACCCUGAAUGUGCCCCCGUCUAGUCUGAUCACAGAAGCUACGCAGAGUCCAGCCUGCUUAAUACUUGGAUGGGAGAGUUACAACAAGAAAAAGACGUGGAUG